RNAcentral lists this ribosomal RNA (254 nucleotides) under uncultured microorganism. RNAcentral's name for it is "partial 16S ribosomal RNA". It matches the Rfam family "Archaeal small subunit ribosomal RNA", at positions 474 to 727 of the family's 1478-position model. The record is from RNAcentral.
CACCGGCGGCUCGAGUGGUGGCCCCUUUUAUUGGGUCUAAAGCGUCCGUAGCCGGCUUGGCAAGUCCCCUGGGAAAUCUGGCGGCUUAACCGUCAGGCGUCCAGAGGAUACUGCCAGGCUUGGGACCGGGAGAGGUGAGAGGUACCUCAGGGGUAGGGGUGAAAUCUUGUGAUCCCUGUGGGACCACCAGUGGCGAAGGCGUCUCACUAGAACGGGUCCGACGGUCAGGGACGAAAGCUGGGGGCACGAACCGG